UGGUCCUUAUUGUGAUCAAUAGAAAUCUUCCUGGGCUUCACACAGCUGUUGUCAUGGCAAUAAUUAGUCAGGGUGCUGGGAUUGCAGGUAAUUAGGGCCUUUUCAAUUGUUUUUGCAGCUAUUAUAGACUGCAGCUGGGACCAGAGGCGGCCCAGUCCACCGCGGCCCUCCACUGGUCCAAGCUCUGGUGGUUGGGGACCCCUGUAUUAAAUUUCUCCAUUACUCUGCUAUGUCUUCUUCUUGCUGAGCUUCCUGGUCACUGUUCGCUAUUCCGGACGCUGUUUUGCCCUCUUCGAUAAAGCUGCACGCUGACAUGACUUCCAUCACGUCUCCUCCGACACAUUAAAUAACUUGGGAAUGUCCACCACUGAGGCGCCGGCUAGUUUGGCCCCAAAUAUCUGCCCUCAUUCAAAGUCGCUGAGAUCUUCGCGGCCGCUUAUGUUAUGGAGAAACCAAACGCUUCUCAGUCCUGCUGUCACUGGAAAAUAGCGUUGCCAUCUGGCAUGUAAAAAUGAUGGCUAAUUUUAAUGAAUGUUAUUAAUAGGGAAAAAUGAUAAAUUUAUAGGAAGGCCAGUAUUUUUAUCCAGAAAAGGUGAAACCCCUGCUGGAAAAUGGUAAAGGUUUGUCAGAUCAGAGCGUGGGGAUUGACUAAUAAACCCCAAUAUUACCCAACUCAGCAAUAGAUCUUUAUUUAGUGAAGUAAAACUGUCUCUGUAUUACUCUUGCCUUGCGACCUACAGCCGCCAGUUAUUGCCACACUACAACUCCGAUCACCCCCUGUAGAAUGCUUUUUAGUUGUUAAUAAGAACAAAAGUUGAAUUAUAAAUAACAAGGAGCCGCCAGACAAAUUCUAUGCGGAGCCAUUUAUGACAUAACUACCCGCCCAAAGGCAGCCAUUGUUCUCUGCAUUGCUAAUCCCACAGCGCCAGAACGAGGCACAAUCAGUACUUCCAGUCUUGGGUGUGAAAUCUCGCGAGACUCUGGUUAAUCAAAAUGGCCUAUCUCGCGAGACUCUGGUUGAUCAGAGCGACCUUAUCCAGCGAGCUGUUGUUCGAACCCGGAAGCGCGCAUAGGUCAUAUUCUCAGCAAGAGGUUAACGGUGGUGUAUGAAUUGAGCAGGUUCCGGGGUCCCAACUAUAAAUAAACGGGCACCGCCUUCCUGACGGUCUUUCUGCUUGGGCUCCGCGUGGAGGAGGACGUGUGAUCCGGCUCUGUUGUAUAUGAUCCGGCUCUGUUGUAGACGAACGAGGAUGAGCCGCAUGACUGGGAUGAACCUCCAGCUUGAGAUGGAUGGGUCAACGGAUUCCCUAUUAGGAUAUCGGACGAGUCUUUUUAUUUUAAUACAAAUUUUCAUCAUCUUUAAUAUAUUAUGCUACUGAGCUUUUUCUAAUAAGUAAAAUUAGACCUGCUGGGCUCUGAGCGAGGCCUGUAUUUAGGGCCUUUAGUGCAGAUGCAACUGUUUAAGGGGGGAGAACUGUAUUCUAAAGGGGAGACUAAAUGUCACAACUGCCUUUAAUCUGCCAUGUCCUAAGAACACCUUGAAGUCAGAGGCGCCUUGGUGACUGAUAACAUUAUGGUAAGUCCUGCAACAUAUUACAUUUCAUGAGUAGUGUGUGUCAGACUAGCUUAGAACAAAUAGAGCAGGGAGCCCCCCUGCCACUGGAUUUUCAACUGAGGCAGUCUCUCCAAUACAGUAGAGUAGUGUCGGCAGAUAGGAUGCAGAUGUAAUAAGCUGCUCCAUGUAACAAAGGCUCUAGUUGGAGGGGAAGGGAGGGGAUAGUUUAUGCAGAGCUCAUUAUCUGUAUGUAUAUUUUUCUGCAUUUGUAGCAAAAACCCAGUUUAUCGGGGGAUUCAGCACAAUAAUACCAUCAAUGUUUCAUAAUGGCAAAAAACUAAAACAUGAAUAUAUAUAUUUAUUUUUAUUCAAGUUAUAUUUGAAAUGAAGAGAAUCUGCAAGCUACAUUUUCAGCACAAGUCCUAUUAAGCAAAGGCACAUGUAGAUAUAUACUGCCCAUUUAAGAAGGCAAAUGGCAUGCCUGAUUUAUACAGAGCAGUACGAACUCUAUGGAAAUAUUAAAUAUAUAUCUAUACAUGUGUGAUAUUUUCUCCAUGAACAGAAUGAUUUUACAUAAAGUUGUAUUGAACCAGCUGCAAAGUGAUUUAUGAUUUAUUUGUGCUUUGAAUUAAAUAAAGAUCCAUUUUAUAAA
Xenopus laevis (African clawed frog) is the source of this 2207-nucleotide long non-coding RNA. RefSeq lists it as uncharacterized. The record is from RefSeq and is a predicted model, not a curated record. The transcript has 2 exons. Lineage: Eukaryota; Metazoa; Chordata; Amphibia; Anura; Pipidae.